RNAcentral lists this ribosomal RNA (738 nucleotides) under uncultured bacterium. Its description in RNAcentral is "bacterial SSU rRNA". It matches the Rfam family "Bacterial small subunit ribosomal RNA", at positions 1 to 718 of the family's 1533-position model. The record is from RNAcentral.
CCCUUAGAGUUUGAUCCUGGCUCAGGACGAACGCUGGCGGCGUGCCUAACACAUGCAAGUCGAACGAGUCCUGGCUUUCGGGCCAGAGGCGAGUGGCGGACGGGUGAGUAACACGUGAGCAAUCUGUCCCUGUGUGGGGGACAACCCGGGGAAACUCGGGCUAAUACCGCAUGGGCAGGCACUUCACAGGAAGAGCCUGGGAAAGAGGCCCUCUUUACAAUGGUCUCAUGCAGGGAGGAGCUCGCGGGCUAUCAGCUAGUUGGUAGUGGUAAUGGCCUACCAAGGCGACGACGGCUACGGGGUCUGAGAGGACGACCCCGCACAUUGGAACUGAGACACGGUCCAGACUCCUACAGGAGGCAGCAGUGGGGAAUUUUGGGCAAUGGCCGAAAGGCUGACCCAGCGACGCCGCGUGUGGGAUGACGCCUCUCGGGGUGUAAACCACUGUCAGAGGGGAAGAAUAGCCCAGUUGCGAAUAGUUACUGGGUGUGACGGUACCCUCAAAGGAAGCACCGGCUAACUCCGUGCCAGCAGCCGCGGUAAUACGGAGGGUGCAAGCGUUGUUCGGAUUUACUGGGCGUAAAGCGCGCGCAGGUGGGUGAACAAGUCGGAAGUGAAAUCUUGAGGCUCAACCUCGAGGCUGCUCCCGAAACUGUUCGCCUAGGGACUGGUAGAGGCUGGUAGAAUUCCCGGUGUAGCGGUGGAAUGCGUAGAGAUCGGGAAGAAUACCUGUGGCGA